Molecule: ribosomal RNA, 253 nt
Filed under: uncultured bacterium
Lineage: Bacteria
Description: partial 16S ribosomal RNA
Rfam family: Bacterial small subunit ribosomal RNA
Source: RNAcentral
UACGUAGGCAGCAAACGUUGUUCGGAGUUACUGGGCGUAAAGAGUACGUAGGCGGUUUGCCAAGUUUGGUGUGAAAUCUCCUGGCUUAACUGGGAGGGUGCGCCGAAUACUGGCGGGCUUGAGUAUUGGAGAGGAAAGCGGAAUUCCUGGUGUAGCGGUGAAAUGCGUAGAUAUCAGGAGGAACACCGGUGGUGUAGACGGCUUUCUGGACAAUCACUGACGCUGAGGUACGAAGGCGUGGGUAGCAAACAGG